This 201-nucleotide ribosomal RNA is filed under the name uncultured bacterium. RNAcentral describes it as "partial 16S ribosomal RNA". It matches the Rfam family "Bacterial small subunit ribosomal RNA", at positions 1300 to 1500 of the family's 1533-position model. The record is from RNAcentral.
GUAGGCUGAAACUCGCCUACAUGAAGCUGGAGUUGCUAGUAAUCGCGAAUCAGAAUGUCGCGGUGAAUACGUUCCCGGGUCUUGUACACACCGCCCGUCACACCAUGAGAGUUGGCAACACCCGAAACCUGUGGGCUAACCGAAAGGAGGCAGCAGUCUAAGGUGGGGUCAGUGAUUGGGGUGAAGUCGUAACAAGGUAGC